Molecule: ribosomal RNA, 648 nt
Filed under: uncultured bacterium
Lineage: Bacteria
Description: bacterial SSU rRNA
Rfam family: Bacterial small subunit ribosomal RNA
Source: RNAcentral
CGCGGCCCAUUAGCUAGUUGGAGAGGUAACGGCUCACCAAGGCGACGAUGCGUAGCCGACCUGAGAGGGUGAUCGGCCACAUUGGAACUGAGAUACAGUCCAGACUCCUACGGGAGGCAGCAGUGGGGAAUAUUGCACAAUGGGCGAAAGCCUGAUGCAGCAACGCCGCGUGAGUGAAGAAGGCCUUCGGGUUGUAAAGCUCUGCCUUUGGGGACGAUAAUGACGGUACCCAAGGAGGAAGCCACGGCUAACUACGUGCCAGCAGCCGCGGUAAUACGUAGGUGGCGAGCGUUGUCCGGAAUUACUGGGCGUAAAGGAUGCGUAGGUGGGUAAGUAAGUCAGAUGUGAAAUCCCCGGGCUCAACCCGGGAGGUGCAUUUGAAACUGCUAGCCUAGAGUGCAGGAGAGGUAAGUGGGAAUCCUAGUGUAGCGGUGAAAUGCGUAGAUAUUAGGAAGAACACCAGUGGCGAAGGCGACUUACUGGACUGUAACUGACACUGAGGCAUGAAAGCGUGGGGAGCAAACAGGAUUAGAUACCCUGGUAGUCCACGCUGUAAACGAUGGGUACUAGGUGUGGGAGGUAUCGACUCCUUCCGUGCCGCCGUUAACACAAUAAGUACCCCGCCUGGGGAGUACGGUCGCAAGAUUA